Molecule: ribosomal RNA, 474 nt
Filed under: uncultured bacterium
Lineage: Bacteria
Description: partial 16S ribosomal RNA
Rfam family: Bacterial small subunit ribosomal RNA
Source: RNAcentral
GAUGAACGCUAGCGGCAGGCCUAACACAUGCAAGUCGAGGGAGGAGCUUUCGGGCUUCGACCGGCGUACGGGUGCGUAAAGCGUAUACAAUCUGCCUUUCACAUAGGGAUAGCCCGAAGAAAUUUGGAUUAAUACCUAAUGGUAUAUCGAGGUGGCUACACCUUUAUAUUAAAGCUGAGGCGGUGAAAGAUGAGUAUGCGUUCGAUUAGCUAGUUGGAGAGGUAACGGCUCCCCAAGGCGACGAUAGAUAGGGGUUCUGAGAGGGAUAUCCCCCACACUGGUACUGAGAUACGGACCAGACUCCUACGGGAGGCAGCAGUGAGGAAUAUUGGGCAAUGGUCGGAAGACUGAUCCAGCCAUGCCGCGGGCAGGAAGACGGCCUUAUGAGUUGUAAACUGCUUUUGCAGGGGAAGAAUAAGGACUACGCGUAGUUUGAUGACGGUACUCUGCGAAUAAGCAUCGGCUAACUCCGUG